Molecule: ribosomal RNA, 433 nt
Filed under: uncultured bacterium
Lineage: Bacteria
Description: partial 16S ribosomal RNA
Rfam family: Bacterial small subunit ribosomal RNA
Source: RNAcentral
AACGAACGCUGGCGGCAUGCCUAACACAUGCCAGUCGAACGAGACCUUCGGGUCUAGUGGCGCACGGGUGCGUAACGCGUGGGAACCUGCCCUUAGGUUCGGAAUAACUCCCCGAAAGGGGUGCUAAUACCGGAUAAUGUCUUCGGACCAAAGAUUUAUCGCCUUUGGAUGGGCCCGCGUUGGAUUAGCUAGUUGGUAGGGUAAAAGCCUACCAAGGCGACGAUCCAUAGCUGAUCUGAGAGGAUGAUCAGCCACACUGGGACUGAGACACGGCCCAGAAUCCUACGGGAGGCAGCAGUGGGGAAUAUUGGACAAUGGGCGAAAGCCUGAUCCAGCAAUGCCGCGUGAGUGAUGAAGGCCUUAGGGUUGUAAAGCUCUUUUACCCGGGAUGAUAAUGACAGUACCGGGAGAAUAAGCGCCGGCUAACUCCGUG